This 366-nucleotide ribosomal RNA is filed under the name Triticum aestivum (bread wheat). RNAcentral's name for it is "partial small subunit ribosomal RNA". The record is from RNAcentral. Lineage: Eukaryota; Viridiplantae; Streptophyta; Magnoliopsida; Poales; Poaceae.
AUGAAGCUCUCCAUCCGCAACAUCCAACCUUGCAUGGAGUCAAUGACAUCACGCAGAGGCUGGACCGUCUCCUCAACCCGGAAGGAAGCCAUACCAAGGAGCUCAGAGCGCAGCAACUCGGCCUGCCUCUCCAAGGCAGGCUGCACUGGGAAAUCCGCCGAGGACACGGAGCCAACAGGAGAAGCAACGAUUGAUGCCCAAGAAUCACGACCAAACGUCUUCGAGAGGGACGAGGCUUCUUUCUGGUGCUUGCGAGGAGCUGGAGCUUGUUGCUGCCGGACUGGGAGGCGAGGCAAUGGUGACAGAGUAGGACUUCCCAAAAAGCUGAGGGGACGCCAGGCAUUGCGGCACUCACGUGCCCGAUGA